AGUCUGGCAUUACCGGCCCACC
This 22-nucleotide microRNA is filed under the name Ananas comosus (pineapple). RNAcentral's name for it is "microRNA s0198_c072". Lineage: Eukaryota; Viridiplantae; Streptophyta; Magnoliopsida; Poales; Bromeliaceae. The record is from RNAcentral.